Molecule: long non-coding RNA, 973 nt
Organism: Amphiprion ocellaris (clown anemonefish)
Lineage: Eukaryota; Metazoa; Chordata; Actinopteri; Pomacentridae
Source: Ensembl
AACAAAACAAAAUGACAAAUUAAAACAAGACAAAAUGACAAACCAGACAAAAAAGACACAAAAUUAUCAAAUUAAUAUACAAAACAACAAAAAACAAGACAGUGACACAAAUGAAACACAGAAAGACACGAAAGUUACAAAAAACAACAAAAGUGAAAAACAAAAUGACCAAAAACGACACAAGUGGGACACAAAACAACAAAAUAUAGACACAAAAUGACCAAACUGAGAAACGAAACAACAAAAAACUACACAAAAUGACAAAAAACUACAAACCAGACAGAAAACAAGAAAAAAAGACACAAAAUGACAAAAAAUAUUAAAACUAUCAAGAAAAUAGACAGAAAUGACCCAAAUGUCUCACAAAUUGAAAAAUUUAGACACAAAACAACAAAAAACAAAACAAAGUGACGAAACAAAAUCACUUAAAUGUAUUUAGUAUGCCUUGUAAACUGCUUGAAAAAAUAAAAUAAGAAGCAUUUAAUGUUGAUAAAACUCAUGAUUUUUUUCUCUGUUCUUCCUCCAGAACAACAUUGCUGAUUAAUUUCACAUCUAAUUAUUAAAUACAGUAGAAAAUAAAUCUGGUUUCAGCUCCAGAGAGUCUUAAUUGAGUCUUUAAACGUCCGUUAGAGGCAAUAGAAACACUAAAAUCAGCUUUUAUCAAAACCAACACAAAGAAAAUAAUCAGAAAAUAAAUAAACGUGGAUCGUUCCAGUGUUCGUCUCGUUUUGUCGUCCAAACAGUCUUUUCUGUCCAUUAACAACCCAUCUGUUCCCUUUCACUGGUCCGGUUCUGUCCUUUAGGUCCGGUUCUGUCCUUCAGGUCCGGUUCUACCCGUCAGGUCCAGUUCUACCCGUCAGGUCCGGUUCUGUCCUUUAGGUCCGGUUCUGUCCUUUAGGUCCGGUUCUGUCCUUCAGUCCUGCCUCAGCACGGACGUUCUUUCCUCCAGCAGCCAACGAGCUGCGAUCCUGCU